UUUACAAAUAUCAGAAAAGCCGAUUCAGGCAGAUACAUCUGUCAGGUGAUUGCGGAGAUUCCAGUUUAUACAGAUGUCAGAGGAAACGGUACUGUCAUCACCGUUAUGAACAGAGAGAAGACAGGUGACACCCCAGCAGGUGGUAAGUGAUUAAACAGACACAUGAAGUAUUGCAGUGACAAUGGCUAAGUGACCAACAUGGCAAUAACCAUGUAAAUGUACAUCCCAGUUGUGUUUGUGUUUUAUUCUCCCAACAUGCUGAUGGAUCUCCAGGUUUUCUUCUCUUCAUGAUAAUUGCUGUGGCUUUAGUGGUUUCAUUACUCCUCAUCACUCUCGUAUGUUACUGCACUCUACGAAGGAAACGAGCACAAGCAGUCAGGGUGAUCUAUGAGGUCCCCCACACUGACUCUGUGGAAGCAGAGACGGACAAACACAGCACCAGCUCCUCGAGAGGCUCUACUCAGUGGUGUCAGGUACCAGUGUACGAAUCCUUCAAUUACUUUCAGCAUGGAGACCCUGAAAAGUGAAUGGGGACCUGCUCGAACAUUUCUUCAUCUUCUAGUAUUUUCUAAUUGUAAUUUUCCUCAUGUAUAUAGUGUACAUUCUUUUACUUACAUUAACCUG
Molecule: long non-coding RNA, 624 nt
Organism: Monopterus albus (swamp eel)
Lineage: Eukaryota; Metazoa; Chordata; Actinopteri; Synbranchiformes; Synbranchidae
Exons: 3
Source: RefSeq, a predicted model, not a curated record